UACGUAGGCGGUAAGCGUUGUCCGGAAUUAUUGGGCGUAAAGCGCGCGCAGGCGGUCUUUUAAGUCUGAUGUGAAAGCCCACGGCUCAACCGGGGAGGGUCAUUGGAAACUGGAAGACUUGAGUGCAGAAGAGGAGAGCGGAAUUCCACGUGUAGCGGUGAAAUGCGUAGAGAUGUGGAGGAACACCAGUGGCGAAGGCGGCUCUUUGGGCUGUAACUGACGCUGAGGCGCGAAAGCGUGGGGAGCGAACAGG
Molecule: unclassified non-coding RNA, 253 nt
Filed under: uncultured Bacillaceae bacterium
Lineage: Bacteria; Bacillati; Bacillota; Bacilli; Caryophanales; Bacillaceae
Description: contains 16S-23S intergenic spacer region
Rfam family: Bacterial small subunit ribosomal RNA
Source: RNAcentral